RNAcentral lists this long non-coding RNA (1669 nucleotides) under Arachis ipaensis. Its description in RNAcentral is "long non-coding RNA (AIPA_LNC001439)". Lineage: Eukaryota; Viridiplantae; Streptophyta; Magnoliopsida; Fabales; Fabaceae. The record is from RNAcentral.
UUCUGACUUUGGCAUAUGAAGGUUCCUUUUGAGCUAAGAAGUUUAAGGUAUGCCCUCUCCUUUUGAAAUUGUGAUUGAAGUAUAUAGACAGAUAUAUUUCAGCUCCUAUCAAAUAUACAUAAGAAACUUGACUUUUACUUAUAAUUUUGUACAUAAUAUUUUUCUUGAAUAAAAUAUUAUAUACAUUUUCCUUCAUACUACUUUUCUCAUUUACAUUUUCUAUCACUGAUGUUGGUCACUUCUUGAUAAUUUUGUAGGGCUACAGUAGAAAUUGGCCAUAAUUUUUCUUUGUAAGGAGAAGUAGGGAACUCAUCUUCAUUAUUUUCAGUAUGUCUAAUCAUUAGGCGCUGGUCACUUCUUCUCCGCAUCAUUUUUCUUUGUAUGUAGAAGCAAGUUACUCAUCUUUAUUAUUUUAAGUUUCUUCAAUAUUGCAGGGGUUACACUAUAAAUUGUCCAUUAUUUUUCCUUUUAUAUAGAAGUAAGGUUGAUCUCACUUUGAGUUUUACAUUCAUACUUUUGAGUUUUCCUAAUCUAAAGGGAUAUUAAAUGUUUAAAUAUAUUGGUGGAUACACAAGGAUCUGUCAACCUUACUGAUUUUGAACUGGCAAAGGUAAAUAUCUUGCUCAAUUUAUACAUCAAUGUAGAGUCGUUUGUUAGUUUCUCUGAUAUUUCAAUUUUAGCUAUGGAUAUCUAAAUAUUGCUCAACUGGUUAACAUUUUAAUUUUCUUAUAUUGCUUUAUUAUUUCAGGCAACCAAAUUGAAUGAUGACAUUAAAUUAUCCAAGGGGAUUUGUUUUGCUGCCUUGCUUUCAUAUGCUUUGGCUUAUUUUCAUUAGGUGUUUUUGCUAUUUGAAGCUCUGCUAUUUUAGUUUUAUAUGUUGUUAUCACAGUAUUAUGUUGUUGUUAUUGGUGAUUACAUGUGAUGUCUAAUGCUUUUUUUUUAUAUCGUGCAGGAAGGUCAGGGUGUUGUCCCAAUGGUUGCACCAUGAGGUUGCUGUUUUGAAAUUGAAAAAGGAGGUAUUAACUGGCUUGGUUAAAUUGUAACCUAUGCUGCUGUUCGGUUUGGUGACUGAUGAAGCUUGGUAUGAAGAAGUUUUUUCAUUCACUUUCUCUCUGGGUUAAUUAUUUAUUAUUUACAUUAUUUAUUGUUCUGGAGUUUCAUAGUUGCAAUGGCAAGAAAUAGCCAUUUUAUUUAGAGCUUACAAGGUGCUAGAUUUACAUAUUUGUGUCAUGCAUUAUAUCCUUCAAUAAUUGUUUGCUUGCAAUAUGUUUCCUAAGCCGACUCACGAAACACUUGCAUCAAAGCUUUAUCAGAAAAAGGUACUCUUCAACUAUCUUUUCAACAAAUAAUUAUGACUUUCUUGAUUUAGUUUGUAGUAUUCUUUCAUUUUGUUUCAAAAUGUAUUUCAACAAUCAGUUUUGGUUUUCUGUUUGUAAUAACAUGUUGAAAGAAAUGUUGAUCAUUUGAUAGGAGACAACAAAAACAAGUUAUUUUUCUGUUGGGUAAAUAUUGCUAAGUAGCAAGUGUGAAGGAUAGUUAGUCUUAUAUUGAAUGAGAUAAUGUAUGAGAGACUGAGAGUUUAUGAGAUGAGAAAUUCAUCAUAUUACUGCCUUAAGCUUUUUAAGUUAGUGUGGUAUAUUCUCUCACUUGAUUCCUAUACAAGUGAUUG